CACAGCCUGCGUAUCCUAACAUGACCGAACAGCAUGCACCAGAGAUGCCCAGAGAUGUUGCACCUGAUCCUUGGGAGUGCUCUGAAUUUCUGGCUGCUUUUGGAGUCCCAGCAGUUGGGACCACACAAGUGGGAAGUGGAUACAGCGUCAUGCAGCUUACGUUUUUACAGAGAUUCCCACAUCCGCCAUUUGGGAAAGAAACAGGGAAGUGCAGAAAACUACUGAACUAUAGUGAAUUCCAGCAGCUGAGAACAAAGUCAGUCCAUAAAGAUGAAAGAGUUUCUGCUCUAAAGAGGAAAGUUUCAAGUUUUGUGGUUCAGAACCUCAGGACCAGGCUUCCAAGAUGACACGCAGAGCCGAAGGCCCAAAUUACAGGCCACUCCAAACACACAAGCUUAAAAAGCAGCCGCUCCCCUCUUUCAAAAAGUCCUCUGCAUCUUUUUGGUUUCUCUAAGAAUAAGCUGUUGAAAAUGGUAUUUUCUUACUGUGUUUACCCAAUCCCAGAUUUAUAAAAGCCAGGCAGCACCACGCAGCCGCAGCUGAAGUCUGAGUUUGCUUGGGUCAUGGCAGAGGACAGGGCAGACAUCCCGCACCGAGUCAGACCUGUGGGAUGUGGCACUCUCUCAAGCUCUGCCUGCAGCCCAAGCUCCAACCAUCAUCUCUUGAUGCCCAGCUGCAGUUGCUCAGUAUCCCUGAAAAUCAUGUGUUGCCUAAAUACACGUAAGGAGCUUAACUUUAUAUGCUUUGCCUUGAAGAACUGGCUUUUUUUUAGAUGACAAUCUGAAAGCUAUCAUAGCAUUUAAGCCCAAUAAUGAGAUUUUAUCUCUUGAUCAUAUUAGAUUAUGAUCUCUUUAGCAGUGCAAGCUGGGUUUCACCUAAGCAGCCUGAUGAGGCUCAGAUGCCUCACGCUAGCCUCGUGCUCAGCGGUGUUGCCCGAUGUGGAGAGCUGAGGAGGCUGAAACGCGGCAGGUAGCACGCGGGCAGGCCAAGUGGCUACAGGGAUCUGGCUGAUGCGGAAGUGGUGGUCGUGGCUUUGAUCCCUUCCCCUCUGACAUCCUCCCAAGACAUCCUCCCUGUGCUGGUGAAGGGCCUGAAGCGCAAGUCCUAUGAGGAGCAGCUGAGGGAACUGGGGUUGUUUAGUCUGGAGAAGAGGAGGCUCAGGGGCGGCCUUAUUGCUGGGGGUCUGCCUCUUCUCGCAGAUAACUAGUGAUAGGACUAGAGGGAAUGGCCUCAAGUUGUGCCAGGGGAGGUUCAGGUUGGAAAUAAGGAGACAUUUCUUCUUAGAAAGAGCAGUCAGGCACUGGGAGGUGUUGCCCAGGGAGGUGGUGGAGUCACCGUCCCUGGGGG
Molecule: long non-coding RNA, 1347 nt
Filed under: Anser brachyrhynchus (Pink-footed goose)
Lineage: Eukaryota; Metazoa; Chordata; Aves; Anseriformes; Anatidae
Description: lncRNA (ENSABRG00000009095.1)
Source: RNAcentral